GUGUACAUGUUCCUGGUGAAAUGGCAGGACCUGUCAGAGAAGGUGGUCUACCGGCGCUUCACCGAGAUCUAUGAGUUCCAUAAAACCUUAAAAGAAAUGUUCCCUAUUGAGGCAGGGGCAAUCAAUGCAGAGAACAGGAUCAUCCCCCACCUCCCAGCUCCCAAGUGGUACGAUGGGCAACGGGCCGCCGAGAACCGCCAGGGCACGCUUACCGAGUACUGCAGCAUGCUCAUGAGCCUGCCCACCAAGAUCUCCCGCUGUCCCCACCUCCUCGACUUCUUCAAGGUGCGCCCCGAUGACCUCAAGCUCCCCACGGACAACCAGACAAAAAAGCCAGAGACAUACUUGAUGCCCAAAGAUAGCAAGAGUACCGCGACAGUGACAGGGUCUCGCUCUGUUGCCCAGGCUGGAGUGAAGUGGUGUGAUCAUAGCUCACUGCAGCCUCGACCU
This 450-nucleotide small RNA is filed under the name Pongo abelii (Sumatran orangutan). Its description in RNAcentral is "processed transcript". Lineage: Eukaryota; Metazoa; Chordata; Mammalia; Primates; Hominidae. The record is from RNAcentral.